Molecule: ribosomal RNA, 253 nt
Filed under: uncultured bacterium
Lineage: Bacteria
Description: partial 16S ribosomal RNA
Rfam family: Bacterial small subunit ribosomal RNA
Source: RNAcentral
UACGUAGGGGGCUAGCGUUGUCCGGAAUCAUUGGGCGUAAAGCGCGUGUAGGCGGCCCGGUAAGUCCGCUGUGAAAGUCGGGGGCUCAACCCUCGGAUGCCGGUGGAUACUGUCGGGCUUGAGUACGGAAGAGGCGAGUGGAAUUCCUGGUGUAGCGGUGAAAUGCGCAGAUAUCAGGAGGAACACCGGUGGCGAAGGCGGCAUCCUGGACCGGCAUUGACGCUGAGGCGCGAAAGCCAGGGGAGCAAACGGG